Long non-coding RNA from Ictalurus punctatus (channel catfish), 3190 nucleotides. The record is from Ensembl. NCBI's taxonomy places the organism in Eukaryota, Metazoa, Chordata, Actinopteri, Siluriformes, Ictaluridae.
CAGUUUGUUACCUUUACGAAAAAUCACUGAGUGUGUUACUGUGCACAGAUUUUCACUUGAGACUGGAUGGUUAUGACUUUGAAGAAUAAACUAAGGUUUGCCUUUUCUAAAAAUCAUGGCACCAGAAAAACUACACUCCUCACCAUAUUAUGUAUAUGGUGGGUGCUUACCUGGACUGGUGCCCAAGCGACAACAGAACACCAGAAUCCUGAGACAUCUAAAAUGGAGAAAAUGAGGAUGAAUGAUGAUUUCAGGCAAAACACAAAUGCAACGCAUGAAUCCAAUAAAGAAACUUCCCAACAAUCUGCAGCUAUACACAUUGAAAAUGCCACAGGAGCUAGAGCUACCUCUCAUACUAAAAGUGAUACAAAACCAAUUAGAGCAUUAUCCACUACUGGUACAGCAGUACCUCCCAGGAGAGUCUCGAUCAAAAAUUCAACAGAAAAAACAAGCUAUACUACAACACUGGCUCCUAGACCUAUUGGAAAUUUACCAGUGAUGACUACUCACUCAACACCUGAUUCAAAUACAGCUAACGUAAAGCUGGUGUUCGACUGCUCAUUUCCUGUUCCCAGUGAGAGUAUGGUCUUGAAUGCUAUCCAAACUCUGCUGAUCUCUCGAUCUGCAAACAUCUCAGAUACAGUGAAAGUACUGGGCUUCUACUAUAAUAAAACCUCAGCCAACUCCUAUGAAGUUAAUUUCAUAAUCAACAUUAGUAUCAUCAUGCCAGAGAAGCAUGCCCUCAGGAAAAACACCUACAAGCAAAUCCAAACAUCCAUCAGCAACACACUAAACAUUUUAUUAAAUGAACCUGGUGCAGAACCAUUUGAACCCCAUACCUCCUACAUCAUGGAUGUGGACAUUGAAAUAGAGUACAAUUUUGGAUGUGGGGAUUGCAAACGACCAAUCAGCUUCCUAAAUGAAAUCAGUGCUUUAGCAACAACUCCAAGAACGACAACAGUUCCUCCAACAACUUCAAGACAUGAGAACAUAACUGGAACUGUAUACAUUUAUAUUAAGGUUAUAUUUGAGAACUUGACACAUGUACCUACCGAGGCUGAUGUUAUCAGUGCUGCUAAUGAUCUCCUGGAAUCAAACAAAUCAGUGAGAGAUCUUGGAAUAGAAGAACUGACUGACCCUGUCAGCAUAAAGAACAUCGCCUAUCAGAAAACGGGAAGCAACUCAUAUAGCAUAGACUUUGCAUUCAAAAUCAGCAAUGUGAGCAUGUCUGUGAUGACGGACCAGAGGAGCGCAACAUAUGAGUUAAUACAGUACAAAAUCAACAGCCUGAUGAACACAAUCUUGAAUGCCCCAACUGAGGCAUCAGUUAACUUCUCACAAGCAAAUUACACGGGUAAUGCUACAUUAAUAGAGGCAACUGAAAUAUACAUCUAUAGGGAGUGUGAUAUCAAGUCGACAAGUGAGUUUCUUCUUCAACUCCUAACACUUCAUACACCUCCUGCCAUUGGAUCAGCUGAGGUUCAAACCACCAUGGUGUUCAGCUCGUCCUCUCCUGUUCCCAGUGAGAGUUUGGUCCUCGGUGCUAUCACAGUUCUGCUUAACUCUCGACUCACAAACCUCACUGACUCUGUAACAGUGCUGAACUUCACCUAUGAGAAAAUAUCAGACACAUCCUAUGCAAUCAUUUUCAUAUUCAAGAUCAGUAACAUCAGCAUUCCAGAGAACCCUAACCUCAGGAACGAAACCCACAGCCAUGUAAAGAGCAUCAUCAAUGACGCUCUAAACAUGCUACUAAAUAGGCCUUGUGCAGUGCGAUUUGAAACCAACAAUUUCAACUUCACAAGAUCAGAAGAUAAGAUUGAUGGAUACAUGAACUACACUUUCCAACAAUCAGAAACCAAAAAACCAGCCAGCUUCUUCGAUGAACUCAAGAUUAUACCUGGUUUGGUUGUGGUCAAUACCACCCUGGUGUUCAACUCGUCCUCUCCUAUUACCUGUGAGAGUUUUUACCACAGUGCUCUCGAAGCUCUGCUGAACUCUAGACACACAAACCUUACUGAGUCUGUAAGAGUGCUGACCUGUGAGGAAAUUUCAAACACCUCCUACACAGUUAGCAUUAAAUUCAUCAGUAACAUCAGCAUGCCGAGCAACCCUGACCUCAGGAACGACACCUACACCCAAGUGGAGAACAUCAUCAAUAACGCAGUAAACACACUUCUAAACAAUUUUGGUUCAGAUCCAUUAAAACCCACUACCUCCAACUUCACGAGUUCAGAGAAUGAAGUUACUGGUUACAUGGAAUACAAUCUCAAAGUCUCCCUCAAUCAGACUGGGAAUGCUACAGUGCAGACUUCUCCAGAACCUCCAUCCACAAUCAACGGAUCAGCUGUGGUUCAAACCAUGCUGGUGUUCAACUCGUCCUCUCCUGUUUGCACUCAGAGUGUCAUUCCCAAGUUUAUCGCAUGGCUGAUUGAGUCUGAACUCAAUAAACAAAGUCAGAGUGUCGUUCUCCAUGUUCUCGAAGAUCUGCUGAACUCUACACUCAAAAACCUCACUGAGCCUGUAAAAGUGUUGAAUUACACCAUUGAGGAAAUUUCAAACACCUCCUACGCAGUUAACAUUACAUUCAGCAUCAGUAACAUCAGCAUGCCGAACAACCCUGACCUCAGGAACGACACCUACACCCAAGUGGAGAACAUCAUCAAUAACGCUGUAAACACACUUCUAUAUAAACCUGGUUCAGAUCCAUUAAAACCAACUACCUCCAACUUCACGAGUUCAGAGAAUGAAGUUACUGGUUACAUGGAAUACAAUCUCAAAGUCUCCCUCAAUCAGACUAGGAACGCUACAGUGCCGACUUCUCCAGAACCUCCAUCCACAAUCAACGGAUCAGCUGUGGUUCAGACCAGGCUGGUGUUCAACUCGUCCUCUCCUGUUCUCAAUGAGAGUGUCCUCCCCAAAAUUAUGGCAUUAUUGUUUGACUCUAAACGCCAAAACCUCGAUGAGAGUGUCGUCCUCAGUGCUCUCGAAGCUCUGCUGAACUCUAUACUCUCAAACCUCAAUGAGCCUGUAAAAGUGUUGAAUUACACCAUCGAGGAAAUUUCAAACGGCUCCUACGCAGUUAACAUUACAUUCAGCAUCAGUAACAUCAGCAUGCCGAGCAACCCUGACCUCAGGAACGAUACCUACAUCCAUGUGGAGAACAUCAUCAAUAACGCUGUGAGUGUAC